CCGACGUGGAUCCGUGCGCUGCGGUGGCGGCGGCGGUAGGCCAGGCAGGGGUCGGGCUGGCCUAGUGGCGCAGCAGGGGGCGGGCGGGGCGCGCAGCGGCGACGGCAGGUGCGGCGGCGACUGUCAGGGAGCGUGGGGGUGUGAGCUGAGGGAGUGGCGGAGAUUGCAGGCGCGUUGUGGAUAAGUCCCCGCGAGGGGAGUUUGCCAUGUGCUGGAUCAAGGGCACAAGACAAACAUCGACUCUUUGCCGUGUGCCACGAUCUGGCUCAUGGCGAACAUUUUUUACUUAUUUUUUUUAUUUUUUUGUUUUCAUUUAUUUCUUUCUUUUUUAAAAAUUCUUUGCCAUGUGUCCCACUGCUGCUGCUGCAAGUAGCACACGACAAACAAUUAACAACAUUUUAUAUUUCAAUCCUAUACUUUUUUUUCUUUACAAGUAUACUUAAUAAAUUAAAGUUAUUAUAUAAUUUCUUUGUCAAAUGAACUUCACAAUGUAUAUUCCAUGUUUACAAACAUGUUAUACCAUUAGUUCAUGUGUUUAUUUCUUUAAUUCGAAUUUUCUGGUUUCAAAAUCAAUAAAUGCUAAAUAUAAUUAAGAAAUAGCAAACGAUUCCGAAAAAAUCUCAAAUUUGAACAAUGACACAACCUAUGUGGUGUAGUGCCUAUAGAAAAAGUUUUGAAAUCAAGCUCAAAUAUGAAAGUUGAAUCUACUCCAACUCAUGCA
RNAcentral lists this long non-coding RNA (721 nucleotides) under Sorghum bicolor (sorghum). RNAcentral describes it as "long non-coding RNA (SBIC_LNC011591)". The record is from RNAcentral. Lineage: Eukaryota; Viridiplantae; Streptophyta; Magnoliopsida; Poales; Poaceae.